GUUGGGUUAAUAUUUCAUUGUUUUGGGAUUCCUAAUCCCAGUGUUAGUAGGAUUAACAACUAUAUUAUAAAUGCCUAUGUUCUCUAGGUAUUUUAGUAGAUUUUUAUUCAUUGGCAAUUGAUUUUGAAUUUGAGAAUUGUUUCUCAUUCCUAUCCUUGUUUGCAUUUCUAUAUCAUCAGGUUACCUUAUAACCGGUCUUGCACCAAGAGAUGGACUAAAACUAGAGUUCCAAACUUGGAGGUCUCGUGUUCAAACCCAACUUAGCACAGUUUUAGCAACCAAACCAUU
This 288-nucleotide unclassified non-coding RNA is filed under the name Hevea brasiliensis (rubber tree). The record is from RNAcentral. Lineage: Eukaryota; Viridiplantae; Streptophyta; Magnoliopsida; Malpighiales; Euphorbiaceae.